GAAGAAGAAGAAGAAGAAGAGAUGACCACAGAAAUCGAAAAUGAAAUCUUAAAUCACUUUUAAAUUAUUGAAAGGGUCAAUAUGUAAUGACGAUUUUCAAUGUUUAUCAGAUAAUCUUACACUUUUUGCCCCGACAAUCUCUCACUGCAAAUAUAUCAUUCCAGUUUGGCUUGAUGUUUAGCUCUUGCCGAAGACUUUUUGGUUCUACAAUGGGAUUUGAAAAUUUGUUAUACGUCAAGUCCAGUCUACUUCCCAAAAAAUUAUCCAUAGUAUCGGAAAUCCAGGGAGGAAGGGUUUCAGUAAGCAUGUUCCUGUUCAGAAACAAUUUUCUUAAUGUUAGAUUCUUGAAUGAUUCAGGAAUCCCACCAGCUAAGUUGUUAAAGCUCAAGUCAAGGUGAUUCAGUGAUAACCAAUUACCAAUAUAUUCUGGGAUUGGACCAUUAAUUGAGCAAUUCCUCAAUACCAAACGAUAUAUGGAUGACAGGUUUGCUUCUUCUGGGAAAGAGAAACUGGUGUUGCUGAGGUCACUAACCAACAAGUAAAUGAGUGCAGUCCAAUUUGCUAUAUAGUUGGGUAUUCGACCAGUCAAAUUGUUCCCAGCCACUUCAAAAAAUUGGAGAUUCUGAAGUCCUGCAAAACUUUGGUUCAAUUCCCCAGUUAGAUAGUUGGACCUCACAUUAAAAUCCAGAAGAUUUCCCAACUUUCCAAGUUCUGGUGGAAGAGUACCGUUCAGUUGAUUCUCAUCCAAUCUCAG
Molecule: unclassified non-coding RNA, 754 nt
Filed under: Hevea brasiliensis (rubber tree)
Lineage: Eukaryota; Viridiplantae; Streptophyta; Magnoliopsida; Malpighiales; Euphorbiaceae
Source: RNAcentral